UACGGAGGGUGCAAGCGUUAUCCGGAUUCACUGGGUUUAAAGGGUGCGUAGGUGGGCAGGUAAGUCAGUGGUGAAAUCCUGCAGCUUAACUACAGAACUGCCAUUGAUACUAUUUGUCUUGAAUACCCUGGAGGUGAGCGGAAUAUGUCAUGUAGCGGUGAAAUGCUUAGAUAUGACAUAGAACAUCUAUUGCGAAGGCAGCUCACUACGGGAAUAUUGACGCUGAGGCACGAAAGCGUGGGGAUCAAACAGG
Molecule: ribosomal RNA, 253 nt
Filed under: uncultured bacterium
Lineage: Bacteria
Description: partial 16S ribosomal RNA
Rfam family: Bacterial small subunit ribosomal RNA
Source: RNAcentral